UCGUUUUCCCGGCGAAUAUCGCCGUAAUUUCCGUCGUCAUAAUCCUCAUUUUUCUCGUUCAGAUCCGUGAAUUUUCUUUUUUAUUCCUCAAACUCCUCCUAUCUCACUUCUUCUAGCGAAGAACAGCAGCCUCUUCGUCGUCGAAAUCUCUCGUUUUGUUUAGCGAAGAACCGGGUGGUUUUCCGUCCCCGAGCUCCUCGUUUCUCCAGCGAAGAUUCAGACGAUUCUUUGACGUCGAACUCCUCGCCUCUCCUUCGAUCUUACGAGCUGCAGAGAGUGGGCGUGCAGAUUAUCUGAUGCGUUCGAUGAAAUCUUUACAUUUCGAACGAGAAUCGCGCAUUCGUUUCUCCUUUCCCGAUCGCGAUCUUCCCGUCUGUUCCACCU
Molecule: long non-coding RNA, 384 nt
Filed under: Spirodela polyrhiza (greater duckweed)
Lineage: Eukaryota; Viridiplantae; Streptophyta; Magnoliopsida; Alismatales; Araceae
Description: long non-coding RNA (SPOL_LNC001001)
Source: RNAcentral